This 116-nucleotide ribosomal RNA is filed under the name Colletotrichum higginsianum. The record is from RNAcentral. Lineage: Eukaryota; Fungi; Ascomycota; Sordariomycetes; Glomerellales; Glomerellaceae.
ACGACCAUACCCACUGGAGAACUCGGGAUCCCGUCCGCUCUCCCAUAGAUAAGCCAGUGAGGGCCAGAUUAGUAGUUGGGUCGGUGACGACCAGCGAAUACCUGGUGUUGUAUGUU